Molecule: ribosomal RNA, 573 nt
Filed under: Triticum aestivum (bread wheat)
Lineage: Eukaryota; Viridiplantae; Streptophyta; Magnoliopsida; Poales; Poaceae
Description: partial small subunit ribosomal RNA
Source: RNAcentral
UCAUCCACCUCCGAUGGCUUUUUAAUUUCACAAGAAAAGUAUAUCCAUGAUCUUCUUACUCGUGCGGCUCUUAGUGAUGAGCGCACUGUUGAGACUCCUAUGGAGCUCAAUCUUAACCUUCGUGCUUCUGAUGGUGAGCCCUUGUCUGAUCCGACGCGUUAUCGUCAUCUUGUUGGGAGUCUUGUCUAUCUUGCUGUCACACGUCCGGAUAUCUCCUAUCCUGUCCAUAUUCUGAGUCAGUUUGUUUCUGCUCCCACUUCAGUUCACUAUAGUCACCUUCUUCGUGUUCUACGAUAUCUUCGUGGCACAAUCUCUCGUCGUCUCUUUUUCCCCCUUCCAGCUCGUUACAGCUUCGGGCCUAUUCAGAUGCUACAUGGGCUAGUGAUCCUUCGGACCGCCGUUCACUUUCUGCUUACUGUGUUUUUUUGGUGGUUCUCUCAUUGCCUGGAAGACGAAGAAACAAACUGCAGUUUCUCGUUCGAGUGCAGAGGCCGAGUUGCGAGCUAUGGCUCUUCUGACGACAGAGGUGACUUGGUUACGGUGGUUACUGGAGGAUUUUGGCAUUUCUGUUAC